GAAAGACCACCCGGUUCCUGUACUGAGAUGCUUCAUCCAGUGUCUCUACGUCAAUUCUUUAGUUUACUAUAUUUGCCAUUCCUUUGCAGGUCGAUCCGUUUAAGCUCCAAUCCAUAACUUCCCUCCAGUUUGUAGGAAGUUCAAUUUGUGAUGAAUCAGAUGUUUGUCUUUCCUCAGAACAUAAAUUCAUUUAUAUAGUGUGUAUCCCUAGACAUGAAAAUCUCUUUUUGCUAUCAAGCAGAGGGACAGUGCCCAAAGCCUUGUUACAUAGCAACCGUAAACUACUGUGUAAGAAAGUAUAACACUCACUUUAACACUGUAAAGUACUACUACAUGCCAUGACCAAAUUUAACAACACUAGUGCAUUUGGAUGCCGGUUAGAACUGUCUGAAGGUCUGCCAUUUGCUCAGCUUAAGCUUCGCCGGCUUUUGCCCAGCAGAGCCAUCAGCAUUAGCUUCUAACUCAGCAGAUCCUCCACGGUCUUCAUUCUUUUUAUGGUCCCGCUCCGACACUGCCUCGACCUUCUGCCGAGGAAGAUCAUUCUGGUACUGGCCGAGCAGAGCCCCGUUUUGGACUUCGUUGGAGGCCGGUUCAUUCUUGAAGGCUCUGUACACGUUCGGGUAUUGAGGGAUAUCGGGAUUGACGCUAAGCGUCUUUGAAAUUCUCGAGAUGUGUUCGAGGUAAUCAUCGGACGUGGUGUUCCAGCCAGGGAUGGAACUGGGAGUAUUUCCUAAGCUUCGACGCAUGUUUUCGCCUUUGCAGUGGUAUAGCGAAGGAACUUCCAUUUAUACGUGAAGGCGUGAGAUGCUUGUGCUAUAUUCUUGAAGUGACAUUGACGGCAUCUGAUUCCCUUUUCUAUAUUUGAAACAAGGAACAAGAACAUGUGCGGAACGUACCCAGAUAUAGGGCGGCGUCCAAGGCUCCUUGGAGAUUUAUUCCUUGACCGAUACGUCAUAAACUUGACACUUAAUCGUGUCAUAAUGCCCAGAUAUUUUUUUUUCCCUUUUUUGUCUCUAGAAGAUGCAUCACUUGGUUUUAAUAUCCUUUUAAAAGUACCAGAAAUAUAUUUGAGAGAUGAUAGGCGAUUCUGCGUAUUUCCUUAUUAUCCUAUAAAGCUUAUAGAUAGACCCGUGUAUUUUCAUUUGAUAAUGAACAGAAUAUUAUAUUUUUCUAUCAUUACAAUCUUCAACUCCAAUGUCGUAUGCGAUAGAUUUUAUCUAUAGCAACAAAAAGUAAAGAUAAACAAUACGGAUAAUCGAAGACAAUUUUGACCAAUAGUAAAUAUUCCCCUUGCUCAAAACCCACAAGAGAUUCAAUCUAAUCCACUAGUCAAAAGUCGUAUAAAGCUUGACCACUUGAUAUGUAGGAGCUCUGAAAGAGUACGUGAUGGACCCUUCAGCACCGCUGUGCCCUUGCUCGACGAGGUGACCGAUCCCGCGGAAAGCCACGGUCUCCAAGUCCAAAGCGGGCGAACCGGAGGGUGGAUUCACCGCCCACCUCUCGUCCGCGUCGUAGCAGAAUGGCCUGCUAGUUGAUGGGAAAUCAUGGGCAAUAGUUCCUCCGGGCCCUUUGAAUCUGUUCUCCAUGCCACAGGUGAGAUGGUAAUUAGAAGCCGGCCACCUAGCGAUUCCCCACAAUUAUCAAUGAGGGCAUGAUUAGAAGAAAAAAAUAGAAUCAUUAAAUCCCACAAUAGCCUAUCGAAAAUGCUAGUGCUGGUAUUUCUCUAAACUUGUCCAUAAAAAAUUCAUGAAAUGAUUUAACUUUUUCUCUGGAAUCUCUCAAAAAAGUUGUUCCAAACGAAUUCUUAGUAACUUCGCGAAUGUGCUUUUUGCCUUAUUCAAGCAAGGGCAGGGAGGAUGUUAGGAGUUUUGCAUGUUGUCUUAGAAUGUUUCUCACCAUUGUAAAUCCGAUCAUUUAAAGGAUUAAUAAUGUCUUGAAAGACUAAUUACGAUCCCAUGCCAUCCAAAAAACAAGGGACUGAUUCCAGAGGCUGAAGCAACAUCAGCCCGAGCAUUUAGCUUCUCCUAAUGUUUUCAACUUACUAUGUUCUUGAUUUCUAAAUUAGAAAUAAUAAUUAUAAAUAAAAAAAAAGACAAUCCUUAUACAUGUACGCCACGUUUCUGAAAAUUGCAAAAUAAUUCCUAUUUGUAAGAAUAAUUAUGACGAGUUAAUGUUUCGGUGUCUUGACUACACUGACACUUUAGAUUUGGUACUAUGCGAUUGGCCAUUUGGGGUUUCCCUCAAAGAAUUUGUAGUGGGACACCGCAUGGAAGGAGCCGAGGCCAGGGAGGUUCUGGCCUUUCUUGUUGGGCUCCAUCCAAGUGGUCCCAUUGACGAUAUCCGACACGCCACACCGCAGCAUCAUCAUUUUCAAAACCGUCUCAGGAUCCAAGGUUCUAGUAGCAUUUAGAUGAUGAUUGAGCUGAUAUACCUUGAUGGCAUCCUCUAGCAAAUCGUUGAAGUCGUCAUCACCGGUGUGGACUGAAUGUUCAGAUUGGUUGUAGUUCAAGCAGUGUUUAGAUGAUGAUUGAGUUGAUACAUCUUGACUACAUGCUCUAGCAAAUCGUCAAAGCCGUCAUCGCCAGUGUGGAUCAAAUGGUCAGAUUGGUUGUUCAAGUAAUCGAAUUUCUCAAGUUAUUGCUUGAGCUCGCAAAUACCUAGGGCGUGGUCGCCCUCGUGACAUCCCUCGAUGUGCUUGAGGAAAUCAAAGGCUGAUUUGGUUUGGACAUGGGAAUGUGCUAAAACGACAUGGAUGGUGAGAAGGAGGAGGAGCAAGUGGGAGAAGGUGGAAUGGGGUUUGUUAGGUCAUGUUUAGUGACGUUUCCAUUCCCCUAUUUUUCUAUUUUUUGUUUUAUUUUUUGAAACAAUAAAAAAAUAGAAAUUCAUUUGGAAAAGUCGACUAAUUUUUCUAUUUCCUGAAAUAGAUUAGUGGUCAAUGAAUAGAUUUAGAACAUGGAACCCUCAAUUUUUAUAUUCUGUCCCCAUAAAAGCGACAUACCCACCACUUUCCCCACUACUUUCCCUCUGAGCCAAGCCCUCAAUUUGCCCUCCACACCCUAACUCAUUUUUUCUAUUCUAUUUAUAGGUUUUUUCCAGUUGUGGAAGCAUAAGAAAGUUCUUGGCAUCGUGUCGCUCGCGGCCAUAACAGGGUCGUGAGGAGAGAGAGAGAACGAGUCAACUUUGUGAAAUGUUCAAGGUUAUUCACCACUUUUCAGGUCUUCGCAAAAUGACAAUCUAGAAAACGUGGUUACCGAUCUUCUGGAUGGUCUGGAUGCUAAUGAGAAGCUUCUGAGGGGUCGAGCAGACCCCUGCCUAACAAAAGACCUUCACAGUCUUCUCCUCUAUAGCUAUUAUCUAUUUAAUGCUUUCAUUAUAUUCCUAGCAAUGUUUAUAGUAUUGUCAUAUUGUUAUUUAGAAAAAUGGGCACCAGCAGCAAAUUCCAUGAACCAACAUAAACGCGUCGUUUAGAUUAUACAUUCGCUGGCUUUGAUUAUUCUAUUCACAGUGGACAGAAUAGAAUUGCUUUUGUUUUUCACCCGUUUGCUUUUUGUAAAAUUGUGCUGAAAGAUAUACAGUCAAAGCAAGCCGGUCUUGGUGACUUUGACUUUGACUUUGCCUUUGCUUCUCGGAGAAGUUAAUGUUGGCUUACUGGAGAUUGAGCAUGCUAAGAAGCUUCUUAGGAGCCCGUGAACGUUCGAAGUGAUUCUUGGCUCGCAAUCUAGUUCCAUUUACUUAAUAAUUAACCUUGAUUUUAAGAAAAACAUUAGAAAAUGGGGAUGAUAAUCGUGAGAAUACUAAUUAACGAUCCUGUUCAAUUCCCCUUGUACAAUUCCUCCCUCGCAACUGCUAACGCAGAAAAAUUCGGCUCCUUUCAUGUAUGAACGUGUUAGAUGUUGGAAUUUUGUUUGUUAAAACAAAAUGAGUGUUUUUUACUUUGUCCCACAUAGAAAAGGUGGGAGCAUGAGGGCCAGUUUAAAAAUGUGGGAUUUCCCUUUUGUAAUUAAAGGAGUGAUUAGGUGGGGCUAGACCCCACCAUACCCGCUUGCGGGUGCGCGAUUAUUUGGCGCCCGCGGUUUAAUUAGCAUUAAUCCCUUGCUUUUUAUUUAUUUAUUUUUAUUUUAAUUUAUAUUUUUUGGUUCAAAGGUUGCCUUUUAAUUUGAGAAUUUCGAAAAUGAAAUAUAAAUGAAAAUUCGAAAUUCUAUUUAAAAAAAAAAUUAUUCCGAAUUUUAUUUGUGUCUUUUCAAGAUCACCUUUGGAAAAUUACUUAUUCGGUUUUAAUUUUUCCGAAGGAUUGUAAUUGUUCGUUUUUCGACUUCUUCCGAAGAGUCGCAUUUGUUUAUCCGAACAAUUUUCUAAAGACGUGUUUGUUCGCAAUUUUCACGAAGAGUUGCAAGACUGUUUCUUAUAUAUACUUGUCAUUUUUCGGAAAGAAAAUGGUGGUCAUUUUCGAGUCUUCUUUAUGAAAAACUGCAGCCAAUUUUUCGAUUGUUUUCCUAGAGAGACCCUGGAGAAAUACUAAAAUUGCUAUUUAGUAUUCUCAUCCGAGACUUUGUUGUAUCUUGGAAGAUUUUUGCCGGUGACCAUUAGCAACGUUGUGGGGCAAAUAAAUCCUUAAAGAAAGUGAUAUCACGCCUCAAAGUCCGAGUUGUUUUACUCGAUCCGAUUUCAUUGUACUACCCAAUUUCGAAGCAUAUUUUCCUAACAUUAGACACCAAAAAAUGCCGAGUCUUUGACCAUUGACUCGGACUAGAAGAGAAUGAACACAAUUCGACAGAAGAAAAAUUGCCUGAGUGUUGAAAGCUUUUAGUUGGCAAAUUUAGUUAAUCGACGAGAAAACUAGUUUUAACUGACAGAAAAUACGAUUUAAGAUAAUUAAGUUUAGGAGUAUACUGGCGACAAGUAAGGUUGACUCUAUGACAAAAGGCCACGAAUGAUGUAGCUGUUGACAGAGUGAUGAUGGAGUAACCAUUUAAGUGUUGGAGCCAACAAUUUUGGAUGUAACUUGUCAUGAAGAUAACCGCAAAAGGGGAAACUUAAUGCAACCAUCGAGUAGUGGAGUGAAGUAGCGGAGUCAAGAAGUUCGUGAGAAACUGAUUGUGACAAUUGUAGAGAAGUGGAGGAGACAUAACUAUCGAAGUAAUGGGGAUGACACAACCGUUGAUGUAGUGAAGACAUAGCCAUCAAAAUGAAGUGGAUUCCUUUUGUAAAUAGAGAUUGCUAAAUUGUAAGUCAUGUAGGGUGUGUUUUUUUUUUUUUUACACUGUUGUUAACUAUCAGUAGCAGACUAGUAGGUACAGACACUUGUACUGUAGGGGAGAAGAGAAUGUUGAUUAAUUUAAAAACACUAGCUGUUUAAUUUUAUCUUCCUGUUUAUAUUUGAAUUUCCAGCACCUUUACAUGAUUAGACAAGAUUGUCUUCAUUCUUAGUACUUUUAACUUUCACGUCGUUUGUGUUGCCUAUCCAAGAAUUAAGAAAGGACCUUUCAUGUGGCAUGGUUUAUAUCUUUUCGUCAUUCGGAAAGGAUGGACUCAUAAAAAUAUUUGUCCUUCUGCCAAUUGUAUCCUAUAAGUUACAGUUUGGUAAGAUCACUCGGUUCUUGUACUUAGUUGCCUCAUCCGGUGUCUCUACUUCAAUUCUUUUGUUUACUACAUUCGCCAUUCCGUUGUAGGUCGAUCCGCUUGAGCUCCAAUUCAUUACCUACCCCCCCCCCCCCCCCCAAAAGUUUGUAGGGAGUUUACUUGGUGAUGAAUAAGAUGUUCAUCUUUUCUCAUAAAUGUAAAAUCAUUUAUAAAGUCUUCCUAGACAUGAAAAUAUCCAUUACUAGUACUAACCAAAAUUUGCUAUAAAGUGGGGGGAUAGUACUCAAAGCCUUGUUACAGAGCAAGUAUAAUACUAUAAAGAAACCAUGACGCUCACUUUAACACUAUAAAGUACUACUACAUGCCAUGACCAAAUUCAUUAUUCUUGCAUGAACAUUAGCGCAUCUGGAUGCCGGUUAGAACCGUUCGUGGAUCUUCCAUUUGCUCGGGCGAAAUUUCUACUUCUUUUGCUUAACAAAGCCAUUGCCAUAAGCUUCAAACUCAGCCAAUCUUCCACGGGCUUUGUUCUUUUUAUAAUCACUUUCCGACACUAUUUCGACCUUCUGCUGAGGAAGAUCAUCCAGACAGUGGCCGAGCGGAGCCCUGUUUCAAGCUCCGUUGAUCGGACACUACUUCAACCUUCUGCCGAGGAAGAUUGUUCUGGUUCUGGCCAAGCAGAGCCCCCUUUCGGAUUCAUUAAAGGUCCGCCCAUUCAUAAAGGUAAUCAUCGGAGGUGGUGUUCCUGCUAGGCAUACGCCUGGGAGUAUUGUCGAAGCUUUGAUGCAUGUUUCCUAGUUGAGGUGGUACAGUGAAGGAAGUUCCAUUUAUAGAUGAAGGGUGAGAUGCUUCUGCUAUGUUCUUGAGGUGACAUUAGUGGCAUCUGACUCCGAUUCCAUAAAGAUGCGUGGAUGGUACCCAGAAAUAUGGGGAUAUGGAAGGCGUCUUGGAGAUUGACGUUUUAAAGUUGAUGAUUAAUAGGGUUGACACACGUUAGAAGUGUUGGAGAAAUCCUCUUGAAGUGUUUUAAAGUUGACAAAACGUUUCCAUCGGUCUAGUCUGAAAGCUUGCAGACUCUGCUAUUUAAAGUCUGAAGACUUCCGGACAGCCAGACUCAAGACUCAAAGCCAGACUCUGCUCAUUGACAGUUUCUAAUCCGUUGAAGAAAGGCUAUCCAGAACUUGAUGUUUCAUUAAGGAUGUGACCUUAUCGACUGGAGAAGAUCUCUUUGCUGGACAUGACAUGAUGGAAUCCUUUAUUUGAUCAUAAUUGAUUCGAAGAUUAAGGAUCCGAUGAUUGGCAAAGUAUACUUGGAAGGUUCUACUUAUGGAAACCGAGAUCCUGAUUGUAUGGGCAAACAGGAUUGAUAGGCUAUCGACAUGUUCCUUUAAUAGCUCGAAUGAUCUUCCUAAUUGAUUCCGUCCAACGGGUAGAUUGGAGGAAUUCCUUUGGUAAGUGCGAACGGGUAUGAUGGCAUGAAGGAGUAUAUAAGGAAGACGUUCCAGUUGUUCGAGGGUGUGCACGAUAGAAGAAUUCCAAAGUCUGAAGCUCUUUGUUCUUAGUCAAUUCAUUUGUUGAGCGAAAUCUUGUAAACAAAAGAGAGUCUAUAUUUGUGAGAAACCUUGAGGAAGUGUGGUAGAACAUCUACACUGUGGAAUCAAGGAAAAGCUGUGUUGUAACUUCUCUUUUGUUCAUAGUGAAAUCCAGCCGGUGGGCUGUCAAUGCGGAAGAGUGGACGUAGGCUUGGAAUAAGCUGAACCACUAUAAACCUUGUGUUAAAUUUUCUCUUCUCUACUCUUUACUUUACUUUAAUCGUAUUAAAAGAGAACUUCAUUUCUAUCGUUUGCCUAGAAUCGCUUCCGUAUCUCGAGAAAUUAUUUGUGCACCUAUUCAUCCCCCUUUCUAGGUGCUUAUACUAGCUAUCUCAAUUGGUAUCAGAGCCUGUGUACUCACUUUGUUUGAAGUGUUUUACUUCAAAGUUAAAGAUCCAUGGCUAGUAUGUUGGCUCCAGGGCUGGUAGAAGGGCAAAGCAAUACCAGACCGCCUUACUUUGAUGGAAAUGAUUACAACAUAUGGAAAAACAAGAUGAAGGCGUUCCUAAGAUCAAAGGAUCCUCUGGAAUGAGACGUUGUAGAAAAAGGAAUCAUUCCUAAAGCUGCACCUAUCUCAGAAAGAGGAAAAGAUACUGUUGAGUCUAGCGAAAUGACUCAGGAAGAAAUAAUCAAGAGACAAGCUCUUGAUGCAAAAGCAAUUUAUUCUUUAUAUUGUGCUUUAUCUCCUACUGAAUAUAACAGAAUAUCUUCUUGUGUUACAGCUAAAGAAGUCUGGGAUAGAUUACAUAUUACCUAUGAAGGAACCGAUCGAGUGAAAGAGACUAGAAUCAACAUUCUCCUCGGUCAAUAUGAAGCCUUCAAAAUGAAAUCAGGAGAAUAUAUAACUGAUACGUUUAGUCGUUUUACAGAAAUCGUGAAUGGUCUUGAAAAUCACGGUCAACCAAUUUCUGAUCCCAUGAAGGUACACAAGCUACUGCGUAGACACUCCAAGGAUUGGAAUCACAUAAAGACCUCAAUCAGAGAGACCCAAAGAAUCAUGCCACUAUCUGUUGAUGAGUUGGUCGGAACUCUUCAGUCUUAUGAAGUGGAACGAAUCAAUGAAGACGAAGACCCUAAAGGUAAGAAAUCCAUUGCAUUAAAAUCUAAUGAUGAUUCUGAUGUUACAGAGUCUAAAGACGAUAUGGAUGAUGAGGAGCUUGCUCUCAUGAUAAAAAGAUUCAGAAAGCUGAACAGAAAAGGAAGAAGAUUCAAUCCAAAGAAACAAAGUUUUCAAAAGCAACAGACUAAGUUUGUUGAGGAUGAUGAAUCAAACAAAGAUGUAGUCUGCUUUGAAUGUAAGAAAAAUGGACACAUUAGACCCAACUGUCCUCUUCUGAGGAAGAAGAAAGGAAAGACUGAAAAGUAUCGAAAGGCUCUUAAAGCAGAAACCUGGAGUGAUACAGAGUGUGAAGAAAGUGAUGAUGAUUAUGCCAAUAUAUGUCUAAUGGCACAAUCGGAUUCGGAUUCAAACUCCGAGACAGAUUCAGAUUCAGAAAGCGAAUUUGAGGUAAGUAACUUCAAAAUCACUAUUAAAGUUUCAAAAUACAUUGAUGAAUUGUGUUUUAGUCUUAAGACUUCUCUUAAAAGAAUUUCCGAACUCAAGAAGGAAAACUCUGCUCUAAAACAACAGGAAAAUAUUUUAAAAGAAAAAGUGAAAUGUUUAGACAAGAAUGUUUCUUCUCUUAAAGAAAGUGAAGAUAAUCUUUUAAAAGAAAAUGCAUUCUUGAAAAGUGAUAUCUCAAAUAUUUCCAAAAGAUUUUCUAUAGGAUCUGAGAAACUAGAAAAAAUUCUCUCUGUUCAAAGACCUUAUUUCAAUAAAUCUGGUUUGGGAAUGACUGCUGAAACCGUUUCUUUAAUUGAUUUUCCUAAAGUAAAGGAAAGAAUCAAACAAAGACCCAUAAGAGAUGCUUACAAAAAUCAUUUUAAAAGAAUCUUUGUAAAACCAGUAGGUCGCAAUGCUCUCAGAUGCUCAAAGUGCAAUAGUGCAGAUCAUUUUGAAAAAGAAUGUCCUAUGAUUUGGAAACCUGUUAAAAAGGUUUGGGCAAAAACCGCAUAUCAUACUAACACCAAUGGACCCAAGAAAAUAUGGGUACCAAAGAAGGUUUGAGUUUCUUUUUUAAAUGCAGGUCACUAUCAAGAAAAAGGUAAAAUGGUAUCUGGAUAGUGGAUGCUCAAGACACAUGACAGGAGACUCAAAUUACUUCAUAAAGCUUAUUUGAGUAAAUGGUGGAAAAGUUUCUUUUGGAGAAAACGGCAAAGGAAAAAUUGUGGGAUUUGGAACUGUAAAGAUUGGAAACCUCACAAUCAGCAAUGUUUCCUUAGUGGAAUGACUUAAUUACAAUUUGCUCAGUAUUAGUCAACUAUGUGAUACUGGUUUCAAAAUCAACUUUCAAGAGAGAAUAUGUUCAGGAAUUAGUAAAGAUUCUACUCAGUCAUUCAUGGGUCGAAGAUAUGGAAAUAUCUAUCUCUUGGAUGUGAAACCAGAUGAAUCGCAAUGUCUAAUCUCAAUCCAAGACGAAGCAAACUUAUGGCACAGGAAGCUUGGGCAUAUCAAUAUGAAGCAGAUAGCCAAAAUUUCAGCAAAGAAGCUUGUUCGUGGUCUACCCAAUUUAUCAUACCAAAAGUCUGAUCUAUGUACACCAUGUAUAUUGGGAUAACAGGUGAGAAAUUCCUUUAAACCAAUAAAUCAAGUUUCAACUAAUCGUGUACUGCAGCUUCUGCAUAUGGAUCUUUUUGGACCAACCAGAACACAAAGCAUUGGAGGUAAGAAAUACUGCCUAGUAAUUGUGGAUGACUACUCACGAUUUACUUGGGUAUAUUUCUUAGCAAGUAAGUCUGAAACUUUCUCUUACUUUGAAAAGUUUGCUAAAAAGGUUCAAAAUGAAAAAUGGUAUGUUAUCUCGAGUAUAAGAACAGAUCAUGGAGGUGAAUUUGAAAAUCAUGAUUUUACAAAAUUUUAUAAUGAAUCUGGUUUUCAGCAUGUAUUCUCCUCUCCAUAUACUCCAGAGCAAAAUGGAGUUGUGGAAAGAAAGAAUAGAUCGCUUCAAGAAAUGUCUAGAACUCUUUUAAUUGAAAGUAACAUCUCUUCACGUUUUUGGGCUGAAUCAGUUUCAACAGCAUGUUACAUUAUAAAUAGAGUUUUUCUAAGGCCUAUUCUAGAAAAAAAAAAAAACCCCUAUGAACUAUUCAAAGAAAAGAAGCCUAUUGUUUCAUAUUUUCAUGUAUUCGGAUGCAAAUGUUUUAUACUGAAAAAUGCAAAUGAUCAAGUUGGUAAGUUUGAAGAAAAGUCAGAUGAAGGCAUCUUCCUUGAAUAUUCAACCACAAGCAAAGCGUACAGAGUCUACAACAAGAAAACUCAAACAGUGGAAGAAUCAAUGAAUGUUAAAUUCCAAGAUUCUAUGCAAAAUGAAUCCAUUCAGACUCAUCUUGAAGAAUCUGAACCUGCUCCAGACUCUACAAAGUCUAAAUCUCAGGAAAUAGCUCAGACUUUGAAGGACCAGCAACAAGUGACUGUUGAAGAUUCAAGUGAAGGAAGUGACCAUCAAUCUGACAAAUUAACCAGCAACUGGAAACAUAAGUCCAGUCAUCCCAAAGAUCUUAUUAUUGGAGACAUCAAUGAAGGAAUUCGCACAAGAUCCAAAAGGCGCGAAGAGUCUAGUGUUGUGGCUCUUAUUUCUGAAAUAGAACCCAAAAGUAUAGAAGAAGCUUUAUCUGAUGAAAGCUGGAUUGAAGCUAUGCAAGAAGAGCUCAAUCAAUUCAGUAUUAAUGAUGUCUGGGAAUUGACUCCUAAACCGAAAGGUAAGUCUGUUAUUGGAGCUAAAUGGGUUUUCAGGAACAAGAUGAACGAGAAAUGAAAAGUCAUAAGAAACAAGGCAAGACUCGUGGCCAAGGGAUACACACAAGAAGAAGGGAUAGACUAUGACGAGACUUACGCACCAGUAGCAAGGUUAGAAGCAAUUCGAUUAUUACUUGCUUUUGCUUGUUAUAAAAAUUUUAGGUUAUUCCAAAUGGAUGUCAAAAGUGCCUUCCUAAAUGGAUUCAUGCAUGAGGAAGUCUAUGUGGAACAACCACCUGGGUUUGAAGACCCAAGGAAACCAGACUCAGUAUUCAGACUCAAAAAUGCCUUAUAUGGCUUAAAACAAGCACCUCGAGCUUGGUACGACAGACUGAGUAAGUUUUUAAUUAAAAAUGGUUUUGUUAAAGGUAAAGUAGACACUACUCUUUUUAUUAAAAGAGAAAGUAAGAGUUUUCUGCUUGUUCAAAUAUAUGUCGAUGAUAUUAUUUUUGGAUCCUCUAAUGAAAGUCUGUGCAAGAAAUUCUCUAAGACCAUGCAGGAUGAAUUUGAAAUGAGCAUGAUGGGUGAGUUAACCUUCUUUCUUGGACUUCAAGUGAAACAACUGAAGGAAUGAACUUUUAUUCAUCAAGAAAAAUAUGCUAAUGAUCUUGUUAAAAAGUUUGGACUGGACAAUUGCAAAAAGGCUGAAAUACCAAUGUCAAGUUCCUUGAAGAUAGACAAAGAUGAAGGAGGAAAGAAAGUCGACCAAAAGUUAUUCAGGAGUAUCAUCGGUUCACUUCUUUAUCUUACUGCUUCUAGACCUGACAUUUUGUUUAGUGUUUGCAUUUGUGCCAGAUUUCAAGCAGACCCUAAAGAAUCUCAUUUAAAUGCUGCAAAGCGUAUUAUCAAAUAUAUUGCAUCAACUUCAAGCUUUGGUCUCUGGUAUCCUAAAAGGGGAGACUUUACUCUUCUUGGAUACUCAGACGCAAACUUAGCCGGAUGCAGAAUUGAUAGAAAGAGCACCUCAGGUACCUGUCAACUACUUGGAGGCAGGACGGUGUCUUGGUUUUCAAGGAAGCAAAGUACAGUAGCUCUCUCUACAGCAGAAGCAGAGUAUGUAGCUCUUGGAAGUUGUUGUUCACAAAUUCUGUGGAUAAAACAACAGCUAAGAGACUUUGGAAUUGAAGAUUCAUGCACGAAGAUUAAAUGUGAUAACACCAGCACAAUCAAUCUCACCAAAAAUCCAAUUCUUCACUCAAGAGCAAAGCAUAUAGAGAUUCGACAUCACUUCAUUAAAGAUCAUGUUCAAAAUGGAGAAAUUACGAUUCAGUUUGUUGACUCAAAGAACCAACUUACGGAUAUAUUUACAAAGCCUUUGGAGAAAAAUCAAUUUGAAAUUAUCCGUUCCAGACUCAACAUUUUGAGGUUUGAAGAAGUUAAAGUCUAGAGACUCUCAGACUUUGACUGCAAGACUUUGACUGUAAGUUAUUCUCUCUCUAAAUCUCAUCUUGAAAAGGUACGUUCAUCAACCAUGUUUGAUUAUUGUUAUCUCAACCGCUAUCUUUAAUUGACGAGAUUAUUGCAACGUUUCCUUUUGAAAAAUGAGUUAUUUUGAAAUGACCAUUUUUCGAAAAAGGCAGUUAUUUUUUUAAAAUGCAUCUUUUCACUUUCCAUUACGACGUUUGUUAUUCCCUCCUUUUGACUGUUUUAUAUACAGUCGGUUUCUCUUCGCUUAACUCCAAAACCCUAAAAAGCACCAAUCUUCCAUUCCUGUUUUCCUCUCUUAUUUAAUCUUCGAAAAAGUUGUCAUCUUUCUUAGGAAAGUCAAGCAAGGAAUCUUUCAAAGACUAAGAAAGAUGUCGUCUUCAAGAAAGUCUUCGAGGAUCGCAAGCAGGGGACCACGGCGAAUGAGUGAGGGGCCUACGCACUUCGAUCUCACUGAAGAAGAAGUGUCUCCAAAUCAGCAGCAGAGUCCACAACAUUCUCAGCAGCGUCAUUCUCCUCCAUCUAGACCUCAAGGUGUUGAUCAUCAACAAAAGGAAGAAAUCAUUGAAGAUGCAGAUCCUGUAAGAGUUCAAAGACCCUCUUUUAUUUAUAAGCUGUAUCGUGCUUUAAAAGGGACUGGUACUCCAUUGAACUAUGUCGAUGAUUUUCUUAAGGACAAAGGAUAUGGAAAUGAAUAUAUCUUUUUGCGAAAAAUGGAAAGUUUGAGAAUUGCUCGUAAAGGGGUGGCAGAAGAAACCCUUGCGAAUAUUCCAAGUGAUCCUCGUGAUUGGGGAUUUAAUCCGAUAGAUGGGAAUGAUGAUGACAAAUUGUACAACCAAUUUCAACCGAGAAUGGGUGUUGCGGUGGAAAAUCGAGGAAAAAGGGGAGAGUUGUUUAGAUCAAAGGAACAGAAUGAUCUAUACUCAAAACUGCUGAAGCGUGGGGUAAUAAACCCUAAGAGUGUGGAUUUUGAUUUUCUGGAUGUGAAUGUGAACUUGAGGGAAAAGUUCGGUUAUUUUCAACUUGAAAAAUUCUGCUCAGACACCACAGAGGCCUAUCCUCAAUUAACUGCAUAUUUCUAUUCAAAUCUUAGUUUCUUGGAUGCGAAUAGAUUCUCUUUCAGUGUCAAAGAUCAAGACUUUGUAGUGGAUAUGGAUAUGCUAGCAGAUGUGUUAGGAGUUGAGAGAGGAAGAUAUCAACGGAUCAAAGUAUCUAUUGCUCGUGCUACAUUGGAACUUGUUAAGGACAGGAGAACAGAGGAAAAGAUUUCUUACUCAAGGAUGAGUGCAUUCAACAUUUUGCUUCACAAGAUUGUGAUCAAUUGCCUCAGACCAAAAUCAAUUUCCAAGACUGAUGUUUCAAGUUCAGAGGCAAAGCUGAUGUAUGCCAUCAUCACUGGGAAAAUGUUUUCUCUUCCUCACACUAUUAUGUUCCACAUGUAUAAAGCAGUGAUGAAGGACAGAGGUCAACUUCUUUAUCCAAGUCUUGUGACGAAGUUAUUCAGACAUCUGAACACUCAGCCUCUGCAAAUUCUUUGUGCUCGAUCGUGCAAUCAUAUGGUGGUAGGACUGAAAAUGGUGACUAAAAUGUGUCUGAAGGAAUUAAGCAAGGCAUUGGAGAAAUUCAAGGAGAAGACUCCAGUCAAAACUCAUCCAAUCUCUUCUGCAGCAAAAAGAAAAGGGAAGGAGCCCAUGGAUGCUUCAUCCAAGAGAAGAAGAGCUCUCAUCAUUGAGGAUGAAGAUGAUGAGGAAAACAUCACUAUUUCUGCAAUGGCAUUGAAGAAUCUGAGUCGUUCUGUUCCAGAGAAAGACUCAGAACAGCGGACCAAAGAAAGAGAAGAGAAAGAAGCAGAGGAAAAAGAAACGGAGGAAAGAGAAGAAGAAGAAGAAGAAAGAGAUGCUGAGAAAGAGAGAGUUGAAAAAGAAGAAGAGGAGAAAAGAGAUCAAAAUGAAGGAGAACAUGAGGAGCACUCUUCUCCACCUAAAGGCAUGGAAAAAGGGGGAGAUCAAGAGGAAAGAGGAAUGCCCUCAUAUCCUGCAACCAGUGAGGGAGUCAGUCGCUCUCCAGCAGAUCCAGAGGACAUCUAUGCCUCUCAAUAUCCUGAGGAAGGUCAUGAUGUUUCAUCGCCAAAUCUGCGUGAUUAUGCUGAUAUACCAUCGUCUGCAUUUACUCCAUCAGAUCGUGCCGACGCCAGUACGCAGACCGAUAAUUCAGCAGAUUUUCGCAGAGUUAUGGAUAUUCUCUUGGAGAUGCAAGGUCAGAUAUAUGCAUUGGGAUGCGAAGUUCAGAACUUGCAGAAUGCAGGUCAAGCUUCUUCGGGUUUAUUGGAUGAUCAGAUCCAAGCCCUUUCUCUUCAGAUUCAAGCUAAUGCUAAGGGUGAGGAUGUUGCACAACUGAAAGAAGACUUGAAAAGGCUAGAAGGCAUCGUUCAGUCAAUGGGAGAUUUCCAGUUUGUUCGUGUUCCCAAGCAUUCUUGACUCUACUCCAUUUUCAUCUCAACCUUUCUUUUUUAUGCUGACAAAAAGGGGGAGAGAUGUGAGAUUUGAAAAACUUUGAACUUAAAUUUGUCGAGCUUUUGGCUUGUUUGGUUUGUGGUUUGUUUUGACUUGACUUGCGUGUCUGGAUGUGGACUAAAUUUGGGAUUUGGAUUUGACUGCUUAUAUUAUUAACUACUAUUGAUAUCUUAUGGAUGGCUUUAUUGCAUACUAGACUAACCUAUUUUCUGUGGUUGCAGAUUCUAGUGUUAUUCAUUUAGCCAUUUAUCUCUAUAAGAUAUGCAUAUGUGUUUGAGAAAUGUUUUGCAGGUCAAAGUUUUCCAAAUCUGCAGGAAAGUUUUGUCACCAUCAAAAAGGGAGAGAUUGUUGGAGAAAUCCUCUUGAAGUGUUUUGAAGUUGACAAAACGUUUCCAUCAGUCUAGUCUGAAGGCUUGCAGACUCUGCUAUUUAAAGUCUGAAGACUUCCGGACAGCCAGACUCAAGACUCAAAGUCUAUUCUCAUUGACAGUUUCUAAUCCGUUGAAGAAAGGCUAUCCAGAACUGGAUGUUUCAUUAAGGAUGUGACCUUAUCGACUAGAGAAGAUCUCUUGGCUGGAUAUGAUAUGAUGGAAUCCUUUAUUUGAUCAUAAUUGAUUCGAAGAUUAAGGAUCCGAUGAUUGGCAAAGUAUACUUGGAAUGUUCUACUUAUGAAAACCGAGAUCCUGAUUGUAUGGGCGAACAUGAUUGAUGGGCUAUCGACAUGUUCCUUUAAUAGCUUGAAUGAUCUUCCUAAUUGAUUCCGUCCAACGGGUAGAUUGGAGGAAUUCCUUUGGUAAGUGCCAACGGGUAUGAUGGCAUGAAGAAGUAUAUAAGGAAGACGUUCCAGUUGUUCGAGGGUGUGCACGAUAGAAGAAUUCCAAAGUCUGAAGCUCUUUGUUCUUAGUCAAUUCAUUUGUUGAGCGAAAUCUUGUAAACAAAAGAGAGUCUAUAUUUGUAAGAAACCUUGAGGAAGUGUGAUAGAACAUCUACACUGUGGAAUCAAGGAAAAGCUGUGCUGUAACUUCUCUUUUGUUCAUAGUGAAAUCCAGCCGGUGGGCUGUCAGUGCGGAAGAGUGGACGUAGGCUUGGAAUAAGCCGAACCACUAUAAACCUUGUGUUAAACUUUCUCUUCCCUACUCUUUACUUUACUUUAAUCGUAUUAAGAGAGAACUUCAUUUCUAUCGUUUGCCUAGAAUCGCUUCCGUAUCUCGAGAAAUUAUUUGUGCACCUAUUCAUCCCCCCUUCUAAGUGCUUAUACUAGCUAUCUCAAGAAGAAGCAUCGCUUGGCUUUCAAUAAUAUCUUUGCGAGAACUAGGAUUGAGCUAUAAAGGACCCUUCGAGAUGAAUCGGGUGGCUUUACUUAUACAUUGUGUAGAGUGUCAAGAUUCUGAUAAUAGCUUGUGAUGGUACGGUUGCGACUAGUUCAAACUUCACAAGCAAAAUCCCAUCCUCCAUAUUGUAGAAGGGAGUCAAAAUUGUAUAAGAUACAGUAUAUGGAUUGUAGCGGACCUUAAAAAUAAAUGAUACGUAUAAAUCGAAGGAAAUUAUGACCAAAUAGUAAAUGCUUCCCUUGCUCAAAACCCACAAAGAGAAUCAAUUCAAACCCCUAAUCAAAAGUUGUAUAACGCCUUGAUUCCUUGAAUAUCAUCCGCAUGGAGACCUUUGGUAGUCCCAGGAGCUAUGGAGGAGUACAUGAUGGCCCCUUCAACAUCGCUGUGCCCUAGCCCAAGGAGGUGACCGAUCUCGUGUAAAGCCACCGUCUCCACGUUAAAAGCGGCCGAGCCGGAGGGUGGAUCAACGGCCCACUUCUCAUCCGCGUCGUAGUGGAACAGCCCGACUGUUGGCGGAAACGCGUGGGCAAGAGUUCCUCCGGGGCCAUCGAAGCUGUUGUGUGCACCGUCUCCAUGGUCUCCUCUUGCAAACCCUAUCUGUAUGUUGGCAAUUUCAUGGUCCUCGACGUACGAGAAAGUGAAGCGUGUCACCGAGGUCCACGUGGCAAAAGCCCGGGCAACUGGGGCCGUGGCAGCCUCUGGGGUCCCUGGGAGGAAGCCAUAGGUGAGAUGGUAAUUAGAGGCCGGCCAUCUAGGGCUUCCCUCCAAGAACGCAUAGUGAGACACGGUAUGGAAAGAUCCGAUCCCACGGAGGUUCCGCCCUUUCUUUCCGAACCCCAUGCGGGUGGUUCCAUUAAUGAUGUCCGCCACGCCGCAUCGUGGUCUCAUCAUUUUGGACGUAGUCUGGGGAUCCAAAGUUCCCGUGACAUUCAGAUGAUAAUUGAGUUGGUACGUCUUAACAGCAAAUUCUAACAGUCGUCGAAGUCGUCGUCGUCGGCAUGGAUUGUCGGAUGACCGGAUUGGUGUAUUCAAUACCAAAUUUCUCGAGGUAUCUCUUGAGCUCGCGAAUGCCUCCGGUAUGAUUGCCCUUGUGACAUCCCUGAAGGUGCUGGAGGAACUCAAAGGGCGAUUUUAUUUGGUCAUCUGAAUGUGCUGAGGCGGCGUGAAAGAGGGAAGUGAGGAGGAGCAAGUAUGAGAAGGUGGAAAAGAACAUAGCAUCCAUGGCUGAACUGAUGAACGCGCACUCUUCUAGCAGAGAAUGAAUGUUUUAUGCAUUGUUGCCGUAUCGAAGGAGGCCUAUUUAUGGAUACAUGUCCCUUUUGAGGUGUAGCAGUAGCUAGGUCAUAAGGUCCCUUCGAAAUUGAAAUGUUCAUGAAUGGAAGAAACCGCAAGUACGUACUAACAGACAACGACCGCAUCGAUCUUCGAGAAAAACGCGUAUAAGACUGGGAAUUCGAGGAAAGAAACCCUGAGUACGGUACUAAAAACGACCUUUACUAGGUCUUUGAGAAGAAGACGUGUAAAACUGGGAACCGAAGAAGUAAUAUUGUUAGAACUCAAUUGUUAAUUUUAUGUAUUUCAUAGAGAAAGCCUCGCAGACACCUAGUCUUUGAUCCCCACUUAAGUAUCGCGAGCCAAACACAAUGCUAAAGCAUUGUGUUAUAUAAUUCAAAAGAAUCGACACGUGGGAUUCCUAUAUUGCGUGUGAAAAGCCACAAAUGCUGUAUAGGUGCAUUCUAUUUUCAUUAAAUGCAAGUAGUCCCUGUACUUUCUAAUAUGUAAUAUAGUUCCCAAACUUUAGUAUAAUGUACAAUGUUAUUUUUAAACUUUUAAUUUGUAUAAUAUAGUUCUUAAACUAUUAGUAAAUGUUCAACAUAAUCAUUUUGUUUGCAUGAUUUUCAUGGAAUUUAGGUACUAAAUUGAAUAUUUACCAGUAGAUUAAGGACCACAUUGAACUAACUAAAAGCUUAAGGAUGAUAUUAUACAUUGAACCAAAAUUCAAGGACUACAUUGAACAAAUUAAAAGUUCAAAGAUGACAUUGGACAUUUAAUCAAUUUUCAAGAAUCAUUUACGUAAUCAUCCCUUCCAUUAAAGAUGCGGUGUACGGCCGAUGAUAGUGCAAAUCAAUCUAUAAAAAAAUUUGUGUUUUUAGUGGGACCCUCUAUGAAUUCUAUAUCUCCUAAUGCGAUUAACUUGAUUGAGGAUAAGGCAAUGUUGAGAUAACUAAUUAAUCAUCGGUCUACUAUCAUAUGGAGCAACAGCCACCGCCCCUCAGCAUUGUUUUUUUUUUUUUGUUUUCUUUUUUUUUGGGGGGGGGGGGUUUGGUAAAGGAAGUUUAAUUGAACCAAAACGGUCUUAAACAUUCAGGCUUACAAUAGGAGCAUCAAGACAAAGCAAGUCCCACAGUGGCUGAGGGGAUGUGCUACCCAAUUAGGAAGUAAAAGGUUGAGUUUUUAAGUUUAGCAACCCAAUCCUUUACUCGGUUAUUCUCUACUACAAUAGAUGAUCGUCGGAUUAAUAAAAAGGCCCAUUAAGUUACGGGCUCCCGAGAUAAGCACGUUGACUUUCCAAGGCAAGUGAUCUGCUGCGCUCUCACUAGAUCAACUAACACCAAGCAAUCUGACUCCAGCUGCAGCUGUUCUUCACUUCUAGACACAAGGAGAGAGAGGGCUUCUGGCAAAGCAACGGUUUUCGCCUGUAGAGUAGAAGACACCGAUACUAUUUUGGCUGCUCUGUUCAAGAGAUUCCCCAACUCAUCACGAACGACGCAAGCUAUGGCUCUAGUGAUCUCUCCUUCCUCAUACAAUCCAUCACAAUUCACCUUUAAAGUUCGCCCCUUUGGUGGAAUCCAACUUUGAGAUAAGUUCCUCUUCUCUACUUGACUCGUCGAUUGCUCAAGGUUCCAUCGUCUCCAGUUGUUGAGCAUAUUGUGUGUUGAUUCCACUAGAAAAAUUGGAUUGGAUGCUGGUUGCGAAAAACAAAAUCACAUCUUGCCUUCCCGAUAAAUCACAGGACACUUGCAACCAUCUUAAAGGAAGCUGAAUGCUUAAUUCUCACUCCAAAUUGCUGUAUCCAAACAUCAAUUCUUGACAGCCCUUGCCUUAAGAUUAUAAUAUGUAAUGCAGGGUAACUCCAUAUCCGUGAAGUCCAGGAACAUAGCAAGAAUAGGUGCUCUACCGUCUCGGCUUCUUGUUUACAGAAUGGACGUGUGGGUCUUCUGAAUUAGUUUUCUCUAGUAGGUAUAGCGUUCUGACAUAUACUCCAUGUGAAUAUUCUGACCUUGGGAGGGGUUUUCAUGUGCCAAAUUUUGUUCCAAAGCUCAUGAGGUGGCUGAGUAUGCGUUGAUGUUUGCUUUUUCGUGUUGUGAAUGGUGGCUGUUUUGUCCACAUAUACACGCUCUUCACUAUGAACCGGCCUAUUUCUGUAUCAAUCCAUACUAACUCGUCUUGUGUGCUCUGAUUUCUCAGUAGGAUUGUUAAUAUUUCGUUAACAAUUUGGACAUCAAAUAGACAGUGAAGGGUCCGUUCGUCCCAUCGAAUCUCUUCUUUCAAAAUCAAAUCUACAACUUUUGCUAGUUCUCCACAAUUUGCUAGCCCCUAAUGAUUCCUCUUUUGAGCCAUCUAUCUUCUUGAAUCUCAUAUUUGUUAUGAAAUUGUACGUCGAUUCCAGAAAAAUAAUGUUCGGAAACAAUUCACCAAGCAAAAUAUAAUAAUAAAAUAAUAGAAUCAGAUGAACAUGCCAGAAAAUUUGUUAUUGAAGUUCAUCCAAACCUAGGCUACAUCUCCGCGCAGAGGCACUCUGCGAAUCCACUAGACUUCAAAAAAAGUUGGAAUAUAACGACGAUCUUCUCUUAAGAUCAGGGCACAAAGAGAUUGAGAACCCUCAUCAAGAAAAAACUCACUUUUUUCUUCUCUCUUUUUCUUGCCUCUCUAUUUCCUUUUUCAGCGUCUUGACGGCUAGGGUCUUGCCAUCGCUAAUAUAAAGAUACCACUUUUAACCUAAAAGGAAAUCUAAUAAAAAAGAUAAAAAAAAGCCCCUAAAAACAAAUAUUUGGCUUCAUCUAUAACAAUCUCCUACUUGAAGACAAAUAUACCCAAGCACCAAGCAACUUUGUAUUCAUCUUCUUCAAAAAAAAAAUAGUUGAAAAACUUGUACCUCUGCAAUACUCGUCAUCAAUCAGCAUGGAGUAAUACCAAUGGUAGUAGUACAGAAAAUAUGAUUCUCUCUGCCUAUUACCUUGGUUAUCAUGUUAGCUGGAUUCUUCGAGCCAUCAAUCUUCUGUAGUUUUAACUCAUUAUCUUUCAAUGCUGACCUGAUAAAGUGAUAACGUUUCUUGAUAUGUCUAGUCCUUGAGUGAUAAGCUGCAUUCUUUACUAAGUGCACUGCACUUUGACUAUCACUCCACAGUGUGCCGAUUGGCUGUUUUCGAUGUAACUCCUCCAUAUAAUCUUGUAACCAUAUGAUUUCCUUGGAGACUUCUGUGAUCGCCACGUAUUCUGGCUCUGUUGUUGAUAAAGCCACUACUUUUUGUAAUUGAGACACCCAACUCACUACUGUACCUGCAACUGUAAAGACAUAUCCAGUGGUACUCUUAUCACUAUCUCGAUCACCCGAAUGAUCUGCAUCUACAUAACCCUGCAACUUUAGAGAUGUACCACCAUAACAAAGUGAGCAAUUGAAAGUACCUACUAGAUAUCUCAAUAUCCAUUUUACUGCAUUCCAAUGCUCUCUGCCUGGGUUUUGCAUAUAUCGACUCACAACUCCCACUGCAUGUGCAAUAUCUGGUCUCGUGCUCACCAUGGAAUACAUCAAACUCCUCACUGCUGAUGCAUAUGGAACUACCGCCAUCUCAUCUUUCAAAGCAUGAGCGCUUGGACACAUAUCCUUGAAAAGUUUGAAGUGACUCGUUAGAGGAGUUGCAACUGGUUUUGCUUUAUUUAUGUUAAAUCUCUUUAACACAUUGUUCACAUAGUCUUCCUGUGACAACCAUAAUUUCUUAUUUUUCCCAUCCCUGAUGAUUUUCAUGCCUAAAAUAUUCUUGGCCUCUCCCAAACCUUUCAUAGCAAACUGUGAUGAUAACAUCUUCUUCACUUCUAUGAUUCUCUUCAUAUUGGAACUAGCCCCUAAUAUGUCAUCUACAUAUAAAGAGAGAUACACAAUAUCAUCAUCAUCAUCAUACUUGCGAAAAUAAACACAGUGAUCAAACUCACAGUGUGCAAAUCAUUUUUCUUGCAUGAAACCAUCAAAUUUUAGGUAUUAUUGCCGCGGAGCUUGUUUCAAGCCAUACAAGCUUUUCUUCAAGCAACAUACCAUGUGCUCCUUACCUUUGACUUCAAAACCUUUAGGUUGUGCCAUGUAUAGUUCUUCAUCUAAGUCACUGUGUAAAAACACUGUUUUUACGUCUAACUGCUCAAGAUGAAGAUCCUCCACUACAACUAUACUCAGCAGAACUCUAAUUAAUGUCAUUUUCACUACAUGCGAAAAUAUCUCGGAGUAGUCGAUCCCUUCUUUUUGAGAAAAGCCCUUGAGUACAAGUCUCACCUUGUAUCUAAUACUACCAUUUGCUUCAUUCUUAACCCUGUACAUCCAUUCGUUUAAUAAAUCUUUUUUACAUGUGGGCAACUUGGUCAACUCCCAAGUUUUGUUCUGAAGUAACGAGCUCAUCUCGUCUUUCAUAGCACACUCCCAUUGCAAGUGAGACGUGUCUGCAUUUGCCUCAUCGUAAGUCUCCAGUUCCCUUGAAUCUGUAUAUAAGACAUGGCUCAGAACAGUAUUAGCUGAUGGAUCAAAAAUUACCUUUGGCUUUCUCACACGUGUAGACCUUCUCAAGACAGGUACUUCAGGGUCAUUCAUUUGCUCCAAAUCACUGCGUUCUUCUUGAACUACCUCUUCACCAAUAAUAGGCUCAUCUUGAACCUCUCUUUCAAGUGAACUUCGAUCUAUUGGAAAUAUCUUCACGAGCAUUGUGUCUAAUUCAACAUAUUCUGGUUGUACUACCUUCUCAUGUUCUGUCUCUGUCUGACGAUCCUUGUACAUCUUUUCUUCAUGGAAUACCACAUUGCGAUUGCGGAUGACUUUGUUAUUCUCAUAAUCCCAUAGCCUAUAGCCAUACUCGUCGCCACCGUAUCUGAUAAAGACGCACUUCUGGGACUUAGCAUCAAGCUUUUUCCUAUCCUCCCUAUCAAUCAAAGCAUAUGCAAUACAACCAAACACUUUUAGAUGUGAAUAAUUAAUCUUUUUACCUAACCACAGUUCUUGUGGUAUUUCUCCAUCCAACGCACUAGAUGGACUUCUGUUGAUAAGAUAAACAGUUGCAUUAACUAUGGCGGCCCAUAAGUGUAGCGGGAGACUCGCAUGUAGCCUCAUGCAUCUCGCACGUUCUAGAAUAGUCCUGUUCAUUCUUUCAGCUACACCGUUUUCUUGAGGAGUUUUAGGAACAGUCUUUAACCCGUGUAUGCCUUCUCGACUCAGAUAAUCUGCAAAUUCUUUACUUGUGUAUUCACCACCAUUAUCAUACUUCAUAGCUUUAAUCUGAUAAUCUGUUUCUUUUUCUACCAUGGUCUACCACAUUCUAAACAUCCCGAAUACUUCUGAUUUUUCUUUAAGAGUAUAGACCCAAGUCUUCCUUGUUGCAUCAUCAAUGAAUGUGACGAAAUAUCUCUUACCACCAUAAGAGAGUUCUUGAGCAGGUCCCCAUACAUCAGUAUGAACCAACUCUAGCUUAUGGCCUUUAUUUUGUCGUUCAUUCAAUUGAAAACUAACAGCCUUUUGUUUUCCAUAAAUGCAACUCUCAUGAAAAUCUAACUCAACUUUUUGCAAACCUGGGAGUAAUUUUCUCAAGUGUAACUGCUUUACACAUUUUUCACCGAGAUGUCCCAAACAAUAAUGCCAAAGAGUAGAUAAAUUACCUGUAACCAUUGUAGUUGCAACCAUAUCACUGAUAUUGUCUCCUUGGAGAAGGUAAACCGUACCCAUACGCUUUCCCUUUGCUACUACUCUUACCCCUGAGGUUAUCUUCCACUCUCCAUAGCCAAAGAUUAUUACCAAACCUUCUUGGUCAAGUUUACUAGUUGAAAUCAGAUUUUUCUUUAAUUUCGGAAUAUGCCUAGUUUCACGCAAAACUAGACGUCCUCCACCUGAGAUGUUCACAGUAACAGUUCAUUUCCCAACAAUUGGACACAUGUGGCCAUUUCCCACAACCACUUGUCCAAAAUCUCCACUGACAUAAUCCUCAAAUAUGUCUCUUUGCGAGGUGCAAUGAAAAAAAAAUACCAUAAUCAAUAAACUAUUUAUCUGUUAUCAAGUCAAACCCUACAGACAAACACAAGUUAUCUAGCAAAGAUUCAUCGCUAACUACAUUAGCACCUUGAUUCUCAUCUUGCUGCUUCUUUUUGUAGGCUUCACACUGAAACCUCCGGUGUCCGGUUUUGUGACAAAACCAACACUCAUCUUUUGCAAUCUGUCUCAUACCCCUUGAUUGUGAUCUGCCACGCCCGCUGAAAUUUCCUCUACCUUUACUUCUUCCACGGUUCUCCACUGCAAGUGCCGUUGAAGAUGUAGAUGCAGAAAAAUUAUCUCCACCUGAGACUUUCCUUCGCAUCUCUUCAUCUAUGAUACUACUCACAGCAUCAUCAAGAGUUAAAUCAUCCUUCAUGGUGCUCAAAAUUCCCUGCACUGCGGUAUUGUAGCUUUCUGAAAGAAAACAUAAAAAUAAUAAAGCUUGAAGCUUCAAAUCUAAAUUUAUGCUUGCGGAUUCCAAUUGACCUGUGACCUGUGUUAAACUAUUAAUAUGCUCUGCCACAGAACCUCUAUCAGAUAACUUCAUAAUAACCAGUUUCUUCAGCAAAAAUACCUGAUUUGAUGUGGACGGCUUUUCAUAAAUAUUCAUUAGAAUAUCCAUGGCUUCUUUUGUAGUUUUUGCUUUCGCCAUGUGGUACCCUGUCUUUUUCGUCAACCCUAGACAAAUCGCACCUAAUGCCUUUCAAUCAAGAAUUUUCCAUUCGGCUUCUGCUGUCGAAUCCAAUUCCGCCAUCUCGGGUUUCCAACCCUCAAAUGGUGCAGAGAUCUUUUUGAUAAAGGUAAUCAUCUAUUUGUAGUUUCCACCAUCCAAAAUCCUCUCCAUUGAACUUAUCGAUUCUAAUUUUAUCUUCUGCCAUACUGUUUGCUUUCAAUUGAACGUCACCGAAAAACCCUCGAUGUUCUUGAUUAGCCAACCCAGGCUCUGAUACCAGUUCUUACGAAAGUACAUCAAUUCCAGAAAAAUAACGUUCGCAAACAAUUCACCAAACAGAAUAUAAUAAUAAAAUAACAUAAUCAGAUGAACACGCCAGAAAAUUUGUUAUCGAAGUUCACCCAAACCUGGGCUACAUCUCCACGCAGAGGCACUCUGCGAAUCCACUAGACUUCAGAAAAAGUUGGAAUACAAUAACGAUUUUCUCUCAAGAUCAAGGCACAAAGAAAUUGAGAACCCUCAUUAAGAAAAAACUCACUUUUUUCUUCUCUCUUUUUCUUGCCUCUCUAUUUCCUUUUUCAACGUCUUGAUGGCUAGGGUCUUGCCAUCGCUAAUAUAAAGAUACCACUUUUAACCUAAAAGGAAAUCUAAUAGAAAAGACAAAAAAAGCCCCUAAAAAUAAAUAUUUGACUUCAUCUAUAACAAUAUUUUCACUUGUUCUUACUGACCACAUCACUAAAUGCGAAAUAGUUUUGCGACCCAUUAAAAUGUUCUGCCAAUCCCAUGAGGGUCGUGAGCCUUUCCUUGCGUUCCAAAAAGAACAUUGAGGGAAAUAAAUUUCUUUCAAGAUCAUAAAGACGAUGAAUUUUGAGCUAACCUCCAAACUUGUUUCCCUAGUAAAGCUUCGUUAAAGGAGAUCAAAUCUCAAAAUCCCACUCCUCCUGAAUAUUUCCUCAUUUUUAACACAUCUCCCUUCUUCCGAUGUUGUCCAUCUUCUGAUUCACUAUUCCUCCACCAAAAAGCAGCAACUUUUUCCUCAAAGGUUUGGUGCAACAAAAUAGGAAUUUUAAAAAUUGAUAUAGCAUAUUGUGGCAAGCUUGUACUAUAGCCUUAAUUAAUAUUUCCUUCCCCGCUUUUGAGAACAAGUUCUCCUUCCACCCCUCGAGCUUUAUAUUAACUUUGGCUAGAAUCCAAGCAAACAUAUGCAUUUUAGAAACUCCCCAAUCAAACGGGAUCCCCAAGUACUUCCUUUCUUUUCUACUUCAGGCACUCUCAACUCAUUGCCCAUAAUUCUUCUCAAAUUCUGUGGACAGCCCACACUAAAAGAAAUACUAAACUUGUUUAAGUUAAUUGCUUGCACAAAAGCAUAGCAAUUUUAAUUCAGAAUCCAAGCUAAGUUCUGGCACAUUUUCACCUUUCCAUCCAAGUAGAAAAUCGAGUCCUUAGCAAAUAAGAGGUGUGAAAGAACAGGACAAUACUUGUUAAGUUUGAUCCCUCUAAUUGUGAAAGACCACCCGGUUCCUGUACUUAGAUGCUUCAUCCAAUCUCUCUACUUCAAUUCUUUAGUUUACUAUAUUUGCUAUUCCCUUGCAGGUCGAUCCGUUUAAGCUCCAAUCCAUAACUUCCCCCCAGUUUGUAGGAACUUUAAUUUGUGAUGAAUUAGAUGUUCGUCUUUCCUCAGAACAUAAAUUCAUUUAUAUAGCAUGUAUCCUGAGACAUGAAAAUCUCUUUAUGCUAUCAAGCAAAGGGACAGUGCCCGAGGCCUUGUUACAUUGCAACUGUAAUUUUCUCGUCGUUUGUGUUGCCUAUCCAAGAAUUAAGAAAGGAUCUUUCAUGUGGCAUGGUUUAUAUCUUUUUGCUAUUCGGAAAGGACACUCAUAAAAAUACUUUGUUCUUUUGCCAAUUGUUUCCUUAAGUUACAAUUUAGUAAGAUCACUCGAUUACUGUACUUAGUUGCCUCAUCUGGGAGUUUGGGACACCUAGAGUGCCAUAACUUAGCACGGGAGGACACUUAAGUACCAUAACUUCAAAAUGGUACACUUGAAUGCCAGUUUCGAAGUUAAAUGAAACACUUAAGUGCCACUCCAGCGAAAAUCCGACCAAAUGGCUGACGUGGCAAUUUUCCGACGAGUUUGGUCCAAAACGGCGUCGUUUUGUACGCUAAUGUGGCGAGAAAAUGCAAAAACGACGUCAUUUCGUGUUUGACGUGUAAAUAAUAAUAUAAAAAUUAAUUAAAUUAGAUUUAAACUUAAUUUUAUUUAAAAUAUUCUAAAAUUUUUUUUUUUAAAAAAGGAGGUUGGAGGGGGCGGCUGANNNNNNNNNNNNNNNNNNNNNNNNNNNNNNNNNNNNNNNNNNNNNNNNNNNNNNNNNNNNNNNNNNNNNNNNNNNNNNNNNNNNNNNNNNNNNNNNNNNNAGUUUGACAAAUACUAUAGAAUAUUUUAAAUAAAAUUAAGUUUAAAUCUAAUUUAAUUAAUUUUUAUAUUAUUAUUUACAUGUUAUACACGAAACGGCGUCGUUUUUGCAUUUUCUUGCCACGUCAGAGUGCAAAACGACGCCAUUUUGGACCAAACUCGUUGGAAAAUUGUCACGUCAGCCAUUUGGCCGGAUUUUCGCCGGAGUGGCACUUAAGUGUUCCAUUUAAUUUCGAAACCGGCACUCAAGUGUACCAUUUUGAAGUUAUGGCAUUUAAGUGUCCUCCCGUGCCAAGUUAUGGCACUUGGGCUGUUCUUCUACCCCUCAACUGGUGUCUUUACUUCAGUUCUUUUGUUUACUACAUUCGCCCUUCCAUUGCAGGUCGAUCCGCUUGAGCUCCAAUUCAUUACUUCCCACCCCCCCUAACUCCUACCAUGAAAAAAAAAGAAAAAGAAAAAAAGAAUCAUUUAUAAAGUCUUCUUAGACAAGAAAAAUCUCCAUUACUAGUACUAGCCAAAAUUUGCUAUGAAGCAGGGGAUAGUACUCAAAGCCUUGUUACAGAGCAAGUAUAAUAAUAUAAAGAAACCAUAACGCUCACUUUAACACUAUAAAGUACUACUACAUGCCAUGGCCAAAUUCGUUAUUCUUGCAUGAACAUUAGCGCAUCUGGAUGCCGGUUAGAACCGUUUGUGGAUCUUCCAUUUGCUCUGGCGAAAUUUCACCUUCUUUUGCUUAACAAAGCCAUUGCCAUAAGCUUCAAACUCAGCCAAUCUUCCACGGGCUUUGUUCUUUUUAAAAUCCCUCUCCGACACUGUUUCGACCUUCUGCUGAGGAAGAUCAUCAGACAGUGGCCGAGCGGAGCCCCGUUUCAGGCUCUGUAGAUCGGCACCGACACUGCUUCAACCUUCUGCCGAGGAAGAUUGUUCUGGUUCUGGCCAAGCAGAGCCCCCUUCCGGAUGCAUUAAAAGCCCGCCCAUUCAUAAAGGUAAUCAUCGGAGGUGGUGUUCCCGGCAGGCAUACGCCUGGGAGUAUUGUCGAAGCUUUGAUGCAUGUUUCACAGUUGAGGUGGUACGGUGAAGGAAGUUCCAUAUAUAGAUGAAGGGUGAGAUGCUUCUGCUAUGUUCUUGAGGUGACAUUAGUGGCAUCUGAUUCCGAUACCAUAAAGUAGAACAGCAAAGCAAGAACAUGCGUGGAUGGUACCCAGAAAUACGGGGAUAUGGAAGGCGUCUUGGAGAUUGACGUUUUGAAGUUGAUGAUUAAUUGGGUUGACAUGCGUUAGAAGAAGCAUCGCUUGGCUUUCAAUAAUAUCUUUGCGAGAACUAGGAUUGAGCUAUAAAGGACCCUUCGAGAUGAAUCGGGUGGCUUUACUUAUACAUUGUGUAGAGUGUCAAGAUUCUGAUAAUAGCUUGUGAUGGUACGGUUGCGACUAGUUCAAACUUCACAAGCAAAAUCCCAUCCUCCAUAUUGUAGAAGGGAGUCAAAAUUGUAUAAGAUACAGUAUAUGGAUUGUAGCGGACCUUAAAAAUAAAUGAUACGUAUAAAUCGAAGGAAAUUAUGACCAAAUAGUAAAUGCUUCCCUUGCUCAAAACCCACAAAGAGAAUCAAUUCAAACCCCUAAUCAAAAGUUGUAUAACGCCUUGAUUCCUUGAAUAUCAUCCGCAUGGAGACCUUUGGUAGUCCCAGGAGCUAUGGAGGAGUACAUGAUGGCCCCUUCAACAUCGCUGUGCCCUAGCCCAAGGAGGUGACCGAUCUCGUGUAAAGCCACCGUCUCCACGUUAAAAGCGGCCGAGCCGGAGGGUGGAUCAACGGCCCACUUCUCAUCCGCGUCGUAGUGGAACAGCCCGACUGUUGGCGGAAACGCGUGGGCAAGAGUUCCUCCGGGGCCAUCGAAGCUGUUGUGUGCACCGUCUCCAUGGUCUCCUCUUGCAAACCCUAUCUGUAUGUUGGCAAUUUCAUGGUCCUCGACGUACGAGAAAGUGAAGCGUGUCACCGAGGUCCAAGUGGCAAAAGCCCGGGCAACUGGGGCCGUGGCAGCCUCUGGGGUCCCUGGGAGGAAGCCAUAGGUGAGAUGGUAAUUAGAGGCCGGCCAUCUAGGGCUUCCCUCCAAGAACGCAUAGUGAGACACGGUAUGGAAAGAUCCGAUCCCACGGAGGUUCCGCCCUUUCUUUCCGAACCCCAUGCGGGUGGUUCCAUUAAUGAUGUCCGCCACGCCGCAUCGUGGUCUCAUCAUUUUGGACGUAGUCUGGGGAUCCAAAGUUCCCGUGACAUUCAGAUGAUAAUUGAGUUGGUACGUCUUAACAGCAAAUUCUAACAGGUCGUCGAAGUCGUCGUCGUCGGCAUGGAUUGUCGGAUGACCGGAUUGGUUGUAAUUCAAAUAACCAAAUUUCUCGAGGUAUCUCUUGAGCUCGCGAAUGCCUCCGGUAUGAUUGCCCUUGUGACAUCCCUGAAGGUGCUGGAGGAACUCAAAGGGCGAUUUUAUUUGGUCAUCUGAAUGUGCUGAGGCGGCGUGAAAGAGGGAAGUGAGGAGGAGCAAGUAUGAGAAGGUGGAAAAGAACAUAGCAUCCAUGGCUGAACUGAUGAACGCGCACUCUUCUAGCAGAGAAUGAAUGUUUUAUGCAUUGUUGCCGUAUCGAAGGAGGCCUAUUUAUGGAUACAUGUCCCUUUUGAGGUGUAGCAGUAGCUAGGUCAUAAGGUCCCUUCGAAAUUGAAAUGUUCAUGAAUGGAAGAAACCGCAAGUACGUACUAACAGACAACGACCGCAUCGAUCUUCGAGAAAAACGCGUAUAAGACUGGGAAUUCGAGGAAAGAAACCCUGAGUACGGUACUAAAAACGACCUUUACUAGGUCUUUGAGAAGAAGACGUGUAAGACUGGGAACCGAAGAAGUAAUAUUGUUAGAACUCAAUUGUUAAUUUUAUGUAUUUCAUAGAGAAAGCCUCGCAGACAUUGACCUAGUCUUUGAUCCCCACUUAAGUAUCGCGAGCCAAACACAAUGCUAAAGCAUUGUGUUAUAUAAUUCAAAAGAAUCGACACGUGGGAUUCCUAUAUUGCGUGUGAAAAGCCACAAAUGCUGCAUAGGUACAUUCUAGUUUUAUUAAAUGCAAGUAGUCCCUGAACUUUCUAAUAUGUAAUAUAGUUCCCAAACUUUAGUAUAAUUUACAAUGUCAUCUUUAAACUUUUAAUUUGUACAAUAUAGUUCUUAAACUAUUAGUAAAUGUUCAAUAUAAUCAUUUUGUUUGCAUGAAAUUCAUAAAAUUUAUGGACUAAAUUGAAUAUUUACCAAAAGUUUAAGGACCACAUUGAACUAACUAAAAGCUUAAGGAUGAUAUUACACAUUGAACCAAAAUUCAAGGACUACAUCGAACAAAUUAAAAGUUCAAAGAUGACAUUGGACAUUUUAAUUAAUUUUCAAGAAUCAUUUGUGUAAUCAUCACUUUCAUUAAAGAUGCGGUGUAUUGCCGAUGAUAGUGCAAAUCAAUCUAUAAGAAGAUUUGUGUUUUAAGUGGGACCCUGUAUGAAUUCUAUAUCUCCUUAUGUGAUUAACUCGAUUGAGGAUAAGGCAAUGUUGAGAUAACUAAUUAAUCAUCAGUCUACUAUCAUAUGGAGCAACAGCCACUGCCCCUUAGUAUUGUUGUUGUUGUUGUUUUUUUUGGGUCAAAGGAAGUUUUAUUGAACCAAAACAGUCUUAAACAUUCAGGCUUACAAUAGGAGCAUCAAGACAAAGCAAGUCCCACAGUGGCUGAGGGGAUGUGCUACCCAAUUAGGAAGUAAAAGGUUGAGUUUUCAAGUUUAGCAGCCCAAUCCUUUACUCGGUUAUUCUCUACUACAAUAGACAAUCGUCGGAUUAAUAAAAAGGCCCAUUAAGUCACGGGCUCCCGAGAUAAGCACGUUGACUUUCCAAGGCAACCUGAAUGCCGAAGCUCUCCCAUUUUUCAUCGCAGCUCGUCGGGAGAAUAGGGGAAAAAAUUGAACCCAGAAAUCCAAAAUCUGCCCGCGACUUCCUCUGUUCGUCUUCCGCUUCGUCUUUCCGGCGGCCCAGCUCCAGAUCUGGAGAAGAGCCUCGUCCAUGGCGGUGACAAGCGAGGUCGGGAUCCCGGCUGUGAUUGGGCUCUGGUGGUGUUGGGGAUGGGGGUGGAACUCAGCUCGCCGCCGGCGGGACUACCGUGGCGAGGGGUAAGGGCUCAUGGGAGGAGGAUUGCGACGGACCGGCGAGGUCGACCUCAACCUCAUCAGCCGUCACCUCUGGCCGGUUGCCGAGGUCCAGCGACCGGCUAGAGGAAGAAGAGGAGCAGAAAAAAAAAAAUUAAAAUUAAAAUUAAAAUUAUUAAAAUAUUAUUAAAAGUUGUUCACAUUAACGCCAAUUAGGCUACAUCAGCCGGCCGGCGUCUAGUCAGCAAAAUCCGGCCAAAAUUGGCCGAAAAAGACUGAAUUGGCAUAACGUAAAAAGACUUGGGACUGAAUUGGUAAAUCGGCACAAAGACAAAAGGUUUAGGACUUUUUUUGUACUUUUCCCUCUUUUCAACUUUUCAAGUAACUCUCUCUCCCCCCUUCUUUUUCGGAGAAAAUAUUCGCUUGUUUCUCACCACAUCAACAAGAAGACGGAAUUUAUCUUCCUCCAUCUUCUCUAGAAAAUCGAACAUUGGAGCGAUUUUCAUCAAUGCAGAUCAAGCGACAGGAAUAACCUCGGACAACCAGGGCAAGGGGAGUGGGAGAUUAUUCGCAGUCUCCAAAAAGAAUGGGGUGCAUGCUGUUGGUCCUCCUCUCUGAUGUUGUUCAUCUUGUUUCUCUUGCUAGACUGAGUAUGCACAUACUCUGGUUGUCGGGGGCAUAAUUUACGCCAUCACAGAUGUUGAAGAACUGGGCGAAUGGAUGAAGGGCUGUUAGGAAAACCACCCAUAUUUGAUGCACUGACGAAGGAAGAACUCGUGAACGAUCCAGUGGUGAAGCUAUUGACCAGCGCGAUCGAGGAAGGCCAAAAUGUUGCCAGGAAUGGUGGGCGGACAUUUCAAGCAGAGUGCAGACGCAUUGCCCCAUCUCUAUGAUAGAAAUCAACUAAUGGCUUUAUGUUUGUGUAUCAGCAGUAAUUUUUUGGGACCAUCCUAAGUGAACUUUCAUGCAUUGUUUGGGAUCCUUUGAAAGAAUGAGAUAUUCUUUAUAAUGCAAAAGAGAAAUUGCAUACCUGUUUCUUCAUUUCUUCUUAUGCCUUCGUGUUUUUUUUUCCUCUCGCCAUUUUGUACUUUAUUUUUUUGGCCAACUAUGCAUUCACGUUAUCAUUGCAUUUAAAGCUUCACCACUUUGAAGAUUCCAUCAACCAGAAUUUUUUUAGCAGCAAUAAAGCUUUAGUAUGAAGACUUGACAGGGACGGCAUAAUUAGCCAUCUAUUUCGAUCUACAAAUAUGCAUUGUUAACGAAAUGCUACGAGCGACCGUAAAAAUUUGCCGCUUUCAAUGUGCUUCUUCUCACAUCCGACGAUAGAGCUUUCAUCCUUUUAGAGCAUCAAUGAUUAGAGUUUGCUAUUGUGAUGUCAAAAGGCCAAUCAUAUAUGGUCUAAGAUAGAGGCGAUGAAGAAGGAACUGUCGUCAUCUAUCUGUGCACAUAGGUUCAAUUCUUCUUUGCUGGUUCAUGCCGUGACGUGCAAUCUCAAAUCCGACUAUAGAGUUUUCUUCAUUAUUGUUCAUCAGAGAAGCACAAACGCACCCAACCUCAUCAACAAAGAGUGUUCAUUCCACUAGACUUAGCUCUCAAAUAUACGGCGACGAACUAUGCUUCCACGAGAAACCCACACUAGGUAACAAAUGGUGGUAGGCAGAGACUCGCCGCCCUUCUAGCGUCUUCUCGUACUCCUCGAUGGGCUUGAAGAGCUCCGAGAAGUUGCCCUUCCCGAACCCUCCGCAACCGCCCUUAUGAUACAGUUUCCCGUGAUCGUCCGUGAGCAUGCACCCCACUCUUUAUAUGAUCUCUAUGAAUAUGGUCGGCCUGCACAGUCAGGCAGCAAGAGAAACCAGAUGAACAACAUCAGAGAGGAGGACCAACAGCGUGCACCCCAUUCUCUUUGGAGACUACGAAUAAUCUCUCACUCCCUGUGCGCUAGUCGUCCAAGGUUACGCUUGUUGCUUGAUCUGCGUUGAUGGAAAUCGCUCCAACGUUUAAUUUUCUGGAAAGAUGGAGGAAGAAAAAUGCCGUCUUCUUAUUUCUUACCUUUACCAAAAAAAAAAUGCCGUCUUCUUGUUGAUGCAAGUGAGAAACAAGCGAAUAUUUUCUCCGAAAAGGGGAGAGAGAGAGCAGGUGAACAAGCCUAUUGCUUGAAAAAUUGAAAAGAUGAGAGAGAAAAGAAAAGAGGGGAGAGAGAGCGCCUGGGUAAACAAGCCCCGAAAAAUUGAAAAGAUGAGAGAGAGGGUUUUGAGCGGAGACAAGCAUUUAUUAUUCCUUCUGUCAGUGAUUUGCCAGAGAAGAGAGAAAAGAGCGUCCUAGCCCUUCCGAUUUUAAUUUUUCAAUUUCUACAUAUUUCAGCUCACGGACAGAUGUCACUUUCUCAGUGAAAUAUGCACGCCACGUCAGCCGAUGACGUUGUGGUUACUAACCACUGAAUAUUUUCUCAGAGCAGAGGGACAGUGCCCAAAGCCUUGUUACAUUGCAACUGUAAACUACUGUGUAAGAAAGUAUAACACUCACUUUAACACUGUAAAGUACUACUGCAUGCCAUGACCAAAUUUAUUCCUGCACGAACAACACUAGUGCAUUUGGAUCCCGGUUAGAACUGUCUGAAGGUCUUCCAUUUGCUCAGCUGAAGCUUCGCCGGCUUUUGCCCAGCAGAGCUAUCAGCAUUAGCUUCUAACUCAGCAGAUCCUCCACGGCCUUCGUUCUUUUUACGGUCCCGCUCCGACACUGCCUCGACCUUCUGCCGAGGAAGAUCAUUCUGGUACUGGCCGAGCAGAGCCCCGUUUUGGACUUCGUUGGAGGCCGGCUCAUUCUUGAAGGCUCUGUACACGUUCGGGUAUUGAGAGAUAUCGGGAUUGACGCUAAGCGUCCUUGACAUUCUCGAGAUGUGUUCGAGGUAAUCAUCGGAGGUGGUGUUCCAGCCAGGGAUGGAACUGGGAGUAUUUCCUAAGCUUCGACGCAUGUUUUCGCCUUUGCAGUGGUAUAGCGAAGGAACUUCCAUUUAUACAUGAAGGAGUGAGAUGCUUGUGCUAUGUUCUUGAAGCGAC
Molecule: long non-coding RNA, 33841 nt
Filed under: Eucalyptus grandis
Lineage: Eukaryota; Viridiplantae; Streptophyta; Magnoliopsida; Myrtales; Myrtaceae
Description: long non-coding RNA (EGRA_LNC006556)
Source: RNAcentral